GUGAGGAAUAUUGGUCAAUGGGCGCAAGCCUGAACCAGCCAUGCCGCGUGCAGGAUGAAGCAUCUAUGGUGUGUAAACUGCUUUUGUACGAGAAGAAACACUCCUUCGUGAAGGAGCUUGACGGUAUCGUAAGAAUAAGGACCGGCUAACUCCGUGCCAGCAGCCGCGGUAAUACGGAGGGUCCAAGCGUUAUCCGGAAUCAUUGGGUUUAAAGGGUCCGUAGGCGGGUUUAUAAGUCAGUGGUGAAAGCCCAUCGCUCAACGAUGGAACGGCCAUUGAUACUGUAGAUCUUGAAUUAUUAGGAAGUAACUAGAAUAUGUAGUGUAGCGGUGAAAUGCUUAGAGAUUACAUGGAAUACCGAUUGCGAAGGCAGGUUACUACUAAUGGAUUGACGCUGAUGGACGAAAGCGUGGGUAGCGAACAGGAUUAGAUACCCCGGUAGUCC
RNAcentral lists this ribosomal RNA (445 nucleotides) under uncultured bacterium. Its description in RNAcentral is "bacterial SSU rRNA". It matches the Rfam family "Bacterial small subunit ribosomal RNA", at positions 354 to 796 of the family's 1533-position model. The record is from RNAcentral.